RNAcentral lists this transfer RNA (81 nucleotides) under Microthrixaceae bacterium. RNAcentral's name for it is "tRNA-Val". It matches the Rfam family "tRNA". From Rfam's summary of the family: Transfer RNA (tRNA) molecules are approximately 80 nucleotides in length. Their secondary structure includes four short double-helical elements and three loops (D, anti-codon, and T loops). The record is from RNAcentral. Lineage: Bacteria; Bacillati; Actinomycetota; Acidimicrobiia; Acidimicrobiales; Microthrixaceae.
GGGCGUGUAGCCUCAGUUGGCCAGAGCGCUUCCCCCUUACAAGGAAGAAGUCGGGGGGUUCGAGACCCUCCACGCCCACCA